UGGAUUUGGCGGUGGACACGGAGGUGGAUUUGGCGGUGGACACGGGGGUGGAUUUGGCGGUGGACACGGAGGUGGAUUUGGCGGUGGACACGGUGGUGGAUUCGGAGGAUCUGGAGGUUAUGGCGGAAGAGGAUUUGGAGGUGGAAAUGGAGGAUUUGGUGGGGGAUUCGGCGGCGGUCAUGGAGGAUUCGGAGGCGGUCAUGGAGGAUUCGGAGGCGGUCAUGGAGGAUUCGGAGGUGGAUUUGGAGGACGAUAUGGAAAGUAAGCUGUUCGAUGAUCGCUCGACUCAAGAAGGAAUGUAUAUUGAAAAAUGUCUUCCUAUAUUCUAUAUUAAAAUGUAAGAUAAACUAA
Molecule: long non-coding RNA, 351 nt
Organism: Penaeus chinensis
Lineage: Eukaryota; Metazoa; Arthropoda; Malacostraca; Decapoda; Penaeidae
Exons: 3
Source: RefSeq, a predicted model, not a curated record